UUGUCCUACGGGAGGCAGCAGUGAGGAAUAUUGGUCAAUGGCCAAGAGGCUGAACCAGCCAAGUCGCGUGAGGGAUGACGGUCCUAUGGAUUGUAAACCUCUUUUGUCAGGGAGCAAAGGGCGCCACGUGUGGCGCUUUGCGAGUACCUGAAGAAAAAGCAUCGGCUAACUCCGUGCCAGCAGCCGCGGUAAUACGGAGGAUGCGAGCGUUAUCCGGAUUCAUUGGGUUUAAAGGGUGCGCAGGCGGAAUGUCAAGUCAGCGGUAAAAUUUCGGGGCUCAACCCCGUCGUGCCGUUGAAACUGGG
RNAcentral lists this ribosomal RNA (305 nucleotides) under uncultured bacterium. Its description in RNAcentral is "bacterial SSU rRNA". It matches the Rfam family "Bacterial small subunit ribosomal RNA", at positions 334 to 637 of the family's 1533-position model. The record is from RNAcentral.